RNAcentral lists this unclassified non-coding RNA (283 nucleotides) under Hevea brasiliensis (rubber tree). The record is from RNAcentral. Lineage: Eukaryota; Viridiplantae; Streptophyta; Magnoliopsida; Malpighiales; Euphorbiaceae.
GGAUUUCAAGUUUCAAGUGUCAACUAAAACAAUUGCCACUUGAGGGGGAGCGCCGAAUCCCACAUUGGAAAAAAGUAAGGAAUUCAAAGGACUUAUGAGGGUGGAGCGCUAGCUAAUUAAUUGGUUAAUUCUAACCUUUUAGCAAUGUUUGGUCCAAGCCCAAGUAAAUCUAUCGCACUCUUCAUGGACUCUUACUUUGGCUCACUCAGAAUACGUCAACUUGUUCAAUUCAACUUAGUAAUAUGGUACUAAAGCAGGCUACAAUCUGGGACCCAAAAAGCAU